RNAcentral lists this ribosomal RNA (547 nucleotides) under uncultured bacterium. RNAcentral describes it as "partial 16S ribosomal RNA". It matches the Rfam family "Bacterial small subunit ribosomal RNA", at positions 355 to 893 of the family's 1533-position model. The record is from RNAcentral.
UAGGGAAUCUUCGGCAAUGGGGGCAACCCUGACCGAGCAACGCCGCGUGAGUGAAGAAGGUUUUCGGAUCGUAAAGCUCUGUUGUAAGUCAAGAACGGGUGUGAGAGUGGAAAGUUCACACUGUGACGGUAGCUUACCAGAAAGGGACGGCUAACUACGUGCCAGCAGCCGCGGUAAUACGUAGGUCCCGAGCGUUGUCCGGAUUUAUUGGGCGUAAAGCGAGCGCAGGCGGUUUGAUAAGUCUGAAGUUAAAGGCUGUGGCUCAACCAUAGUUCGCUUUGGAAACUGUCAAACUUGAGUGCAGAAGGGGAGAGUGGAAUUCCAUGUGUAGCGGUGAAAUGCGUAGAUAUAUGGAGGAACACCGGUGGCGAAAGCGGCUCUCUGGUCUGUAACUGACGCUGAGGCUCGAAAGCGUGGGGAGCGAACAGGAUUAGAUACCCUGGUAGUCCACGCCGUAAACGAUGAGUGCUAGGUGUUGGAUCCUUUCCGGGAUUCAGUGCCGCAGCUAACGCAUUAAGCACUCCGCCUGGGGAGUACGACCGCAAGG